UGUACUUGUUGAAAUUCUCACAAUCUCUCUAUCUUUCACACUCAUUUACGGUUUCAUUGUCUUUAGAGAGAAAGAACAAAAACCAUUUUACUAUAAUCUUCUACAUUGAUAAUUGAUUGGAUUACGAGGAUAACAUUACACAACAUCACACACACACUCUUAUACUAGUUUUACUUCUACUUACUAGUUACUACACACACUUGCACCAUGCUUCUACUUGGACUCUAGACAUAACAACUUCUACUAGGCCAUUCUUCUAGGCUCUAGUUUACAAGCAACCUUACCUUAGACUACAACCACUCUCAUUUAGCUACUCUAGCUUAGCUUAAUUAUUUAUAAGCACACCAUACACACAUAAUCUGGGCUCAACUCUACUAACGGCCCAUUUACAAACCAAAACACACAAUUACUAUGUGGGCUUCACUCCAGCCCAAUAGCCUCAUCUUUGACUUUCUCUUCUCUUCUGUUGACUCUUCUUCUUCGACAACUUCUUCUCCUUUUGCUUUGCUUUUGCAUCUUCUCUUUUCUUCUUCAUCUUCUUCUCACUUGAAGCUUUUCUCUUUUGCAGGUUUAAUCAAGAACUCAAUCUCAACACUCCCUCUUGAGUUCUUCGAUUAAAUCCCCAAUUUCAAUUUUAGGGCUUUCAAUCCCAUGGCUUCUUCUUCUUCGAUAGAUCGCCUCUCUUCUCUUCUUCGGCGAGCAUCUCCUUCUUGCUUCUAUUCCUUUAAUAGAGCUUCUUUCUCUAUCGUGGUGCAUAGCUUCUCCAACGACAGCUAGAGGUCACAACUCUCACAGAUCACCAGUCACCGUCACGGUGAAAGUCUCCGCCGCGUCUUCAACCACCACUUUCUCCGAAACACUUCAACUCUUUGCCAUGAGCCUUCCAUGUCUCCUCCAAGUUUUCUCCUUCGUGAGCUCUUCUCACGUUCUCAUUAAAUUUCUUCUCCAUGAGACCAUGACCACUCGUCAUGUCUCUUGCUCGGCUGACAUUGCAACCGGCUUCAGCUCCCACUGUGGUUUUGAUCCACUCAGAUUUCAACCCUAGUCACGGAUUGGAGCUUCUCGACACCAUUGCUGCCACCUUAGUUGCUUCCUCUUUGACGCAAGACUACAUAGUCUACAUUUCAUCUUGGAGGUUGCAACCAAGCUUACAUUGGUGCCUUCUUCCUUCUUUGCCUCAGCUUCUUCUGCUGCAGGCAUCUCCUCUCUAGUUCCGAAUCCUCUUGGUAUUUUUAACCAAGGUUUCUUCUUUCUCCUCGUUUCAGCUGAAGAAUCGCAUGGAAUCUCCACUUCAUCGAGCAUAUUUGAGCUUCACCAAGACAAUGUCGAACAAGGAUUGAAUUCAUCACCUUUCACAACACCAUCUCCACACCGUUGUCUUCAUUGCUUCUUCCAGAAGAUCUCCACGUCUACUUGGAUGCACCUGAAGCCCUCCUUCUCUAAGGCUCUUCUCUUCUUUUGUCUUGAGCACAGAUCCACUCAAGAUUUAAAUCUCUUGCCUUGAGCUCAGGUCCACUCAAGGUCUCACUCUCUUCUUCUUCUUCUUCCACGGCUUCUUUGCCGUCUCACUUACAGCAGCUUCUUGGGCUGCAUCAUCUCUUCAUCUUUGCCGUCUUCUUCUUACGGCCAGCUUUCUUCUUUGUUGAUGGCUGUCUCCAUCUUCCUCACAGCUUCUUCUUCC
Molecule: long non-coding RNA, 1681 nt
Organism: Arabidopsis lyrata subsp. lyrata
Lineage: Eukaryota; Viridiplantae; Streptophyta; Magnoliopsida; Brassicales; Brassicaceae
Exons: 4
Source: RefSeq, a predicted model, not a curated record